RNAcentral lists this ribosomal RNA (693 nucleotides) under uncultured bacterium. RNAcentral's name for it is "bacterial SSU rRNA". It matches the Rfam family "Bacterial small subunit ribosomal RNA", at positions 141 to 850 of the family's 1533-position model. The record is from RNAcentral.
GGAUAACGUUUGGAAACGAACGCUAAUACCGCAUGAUAUUAUUGAGCUGCAUGGCUUGAUAAUCAAAGGAGCAAUCCGCUGAAAGAUGGGCUCGCGUCCGAUUAGGUAGUUGGCGGGGCAACGGCCCACCAAGCCGACGAUCGGUAGCCGGACUGAGAGGUUGAACGGCCACAUUGGGACUGAGACACGGCCCAGACUCCUACGGGAGGCAGCAGUGAGGGAUAUUGGUCAAUGGGGGAAACCCUGAACCAGCAACGCCGCGUGAGGGAAGACGGUUUUCGGAUUGUAAACCUCUGUCCUCUGUGAAGAUAAUGACGGUAGCAGAGGAGGAAGCUCCGGCUAACUACGUGCCAGCAGCCGCGGUAAUACGUAGGGAGCAAGCGUUGUCCGGAUUUACUGGGUGUAAAGGGUGCGUAGGCGGCUUUGCAAGUCAGAAGUGAAAUCCAUGGGCUUAACCCAUGAACUGCUUUUGAAACUGCAGAGCUUGAGUGGAGUAGAGGUAGGCGGAAUUCCCGGUGUAGCGGUGAAAUGCGUAGAGAUCGGGAGGAACACCAGUGGCGAAGGCGGCCUGCUGGGCUCUAACUGACGCUGAGGCACGAAAGCGUGGGUAGCAAACAGGAUUAGAUACCCUGGUAGUCCACGCUGUAAACGAUGAUUACUAGGUGUGGGUGGACUGACCCCAUCCGUGCCGGA